Molecule: unclassified non-coding RNA, 328 nt
Filed under: soil metagenome
Description: partial contains 5.8S ribosomal RNA, internal transcribed spacer 2, and large subunit ribosomal RNA
Rfam family: 5.8S ribosomal RNA (bases 1-120)
Source: RNAcentral
GAUGAAGAACGCAGCGAAAUGCGAUAAGUAAUGUGAAUUGCAGAAUUCAGUGAAUCAUCGAAUCUUUGAACGCACAUUGCGCCACUUGGUAUUCCGAGGGGCAUGCCUGUUCGAGCGUCAUUAUAACCCCUCAAGCUCAGCUUGGUGUUGGGGCCUGCCGCACGGGCAGCCCUUAAAAUCAGUGGCGGUGCCAUCUGGCUCUAAGCGUAGUAAUUCUUCUCGCUAUAGAGUCCCGGUGGAUGCUUGCCAUUAACCCCCAAUUUUCUAUGGUUGACCUCGGAUCAGGUAGGGAUACCCGCUGAACUUAAGCAUAUCAAUAAGCGGAGGA